RNAcentral lists this ribosomal RNA (501 nucleotides) under uncultured bacterium. Its description in RNAcentral is "bacterial SSU rRNA". It matches the Rfam family "Bacterial small subunit ribosomal RNA", at positions 28 to 529 of the family's 1533-position model. The record is from RNAcentral.
AAUGAACGUUGGCGGCGUGGAUUAGGCAUGCAAGUCGAGGGAGAACCCGCAAGGGGGACACCGGCGAACGGGGUAGGAUCACCUCGGUGACGUACCCUCCGGACGGGGAUAGCGACGGGAAACUGUCGGUAAUACCCGAUGAUCUGGCGAGCUUUUGAGGCUUGUCAGCAAAGGUGAGAUUCCACCGGAGGAGCGGCUGAGGCGCUAUUAGCUAGUUGGGGAGGUAACGGCUCACCAAGGUGACGAUGGCUAGGGGGUGUGAGAGCAUGGCCCCCCACCACUGGCACUGAGACACUGGCCAGACACCUACGGGUGGCUGCAGUCGAGAAUCUUCGGCAAUGGGCGCAAGCCUGACCGAGCGACGCCGCGUGCGGGAUGAAGGUCUUCGGAUUGUAAACCGCUGUCGGAGGGGAUGAAGUGUACGGGGGCUAUCCCCUGUAUUUGACAGAGCCUCGGAGGAAGCACGGGCUAAGUUCGUGCCAGCAGCCGCGGUAAUGUGUG